AAGGAGGUGGCCAAGCAGACAAAUGGUUACGACUGUGGAGUCCAUAUGUGCCAAAAUGCUGCGGAUGUUGCGUAUGACUUGCCGUUUUCAUGUUCUCCGAACAAGGUUCAUGCCAUCCGGAAGACGAUGACAUUUGAGAUACUUACUGGAGCGUUGAUACCCAGAGAAUAAUGCAAACAGUUUUGUAGAUCACGCACUAUUUUGGCCGUAGAUCAAGUGAUGACAUAUAUUUGUUCAAACUGAUUGAGAAAUUGUGAUGCAUGCUAAAAAAGCAUCAAUAUUAUUUGUGGAUCAAUGCAGAGACCUGUUAUUAUACGUUAUGCAUUCAUGUUUGCCUCAAAGGGUCUCCCUGUUGUGUUAAGUUUGUAAAUAUUUGUUUCUUGCCAAAACUCUGUUUAAUUGGCCACUGAAUUAAAAAAAAUCGUGUUAGUAUUACUAUGCUUUUUAAAGCCAGUAAAAAGGGCAAUAUAA
Long non-coding RNA from Dreissena polymorpha, 471 nucleotides. RefSeq lists it as uncharacterized. The record is from RefSeq and is a predicted model, not a curated record. The transcript is spliced from 2 exons. NCBI's taxonomy places the organism in Eukaryota, Metazoa, Mollusca, Bivalvia, Myida, Dreissenidae.